GUCGAGCGGAAUGACGAGAGCUUGCUCUCUGAUUUUAGCGGCGGACGGGUGAGUAACACGUGGGCAACCUGCCCUACAGAUGGGGAUAACUCCGGGAAACCGGGGCUAAUACCGAAUAAUCAGUUUGUCCGCAUGGACAAACUCUGAAAGACGGUUUCGGCUGUCACUGUAGGAUGGGCCCGCGGCGCAUUAGCUAGUUGGUGGGGUAAUGGCCUACCAAGGCAACGAUGCGUAGCCGACCUGAGAGGGUGAUCGGCCACACUGGGACUGAGACACGGCCCAGACUCCUACGGGAGGCAGCAGUAGGGAAUCUUCCACAAUGGACGAAAGUUUGAUGGAGCAAUGCCGCGUGAGCGAAGAAGGUUUUCGGAUCGUAAAGCUCUGUUGUAAGGGAAGAACACGUACGGGAGUAACUGCCCGUGCCAUGACGGUACCUUAUUAGAAAGCCACGGCUAACUACGUGCCAGCAGCCGCGGUAAUACGUAGGUGGCAAGCGUUGUCCGGAAUUAUUGGGCGUAAAGCGCGCGCAGGCGGUUCUUUAAGUCUGAUGUGAAAGCCCACGGCUCAACCGUGGAGGGUCAUUGGAAACUGGAGAACUUGAGUACAGAAGAGGAAAGCGGAAUUCCACGUGUAGCGGUGAAAUGCGUA
Molecule: ribosomal RNA, 648 nt
Filed under: uncultured bacterium
Lineage: Bacteria
Description: bacterial SSU rRNA
Rfam family: Bacterial small subunit ribosomal RNA
Source: RNAcentral